AUUGAACGCUGGCGGCAUGCCUUACACAUGCAAGUCGAACGGCAGCAUGGAAGAGCUUGCUCUUCUGAUGGCGAGUGGCGAACGGGUGAGUAAAGCAUCGGAACGUACCGUGUAGUGGGGGAUAACGUAGCGAAAGUUACGCUAAUACCGCAUACGCACUGAGGUGGAAAGCAGGGGAUCGCAAGACCUUGCGCUAUACGAGCGGCCGAUGUCAGAUUAGCUAGUUGGUAGGGUAAAGGCCUACCAAGGCGACGAUCUGUAGCGGGUCUGAGAGGAUGAUCCGCCACACUGGGACUGAGACACGGCCCCAGGACUCCUACGGAGGCAGCAGUGGGGAAUUUUGGACAAUGGGCGAAAGCCUGAUCCAGCCAUGCCGCGUGAGUGAAGAAGGCCU
This 394-nucleotide ribosomal RNA is filed under the name uncultured bacterium. Its description in RNAcentral is "bacterial SSU rRNA". It matches the Rfam family "Bacterial small subunit ribosomal RNA", at positions 30 to 417 of the family's 1533-position model. The record is from RNAcentral.